RNAcentral lists this ribosomal RNA (734 nucleotides) under uncultured bacterium. RNAcentral's name for it is "bacterial SSU rRNA". It matches the Rfam family "Bacterial small subunit ribosomal RNA", at positions 771 to 1501 of the family's 1533-position model. The record is from RNAcentral.
AACAGGAUUAGAUACCCUGGUAGUCCACCCCGUAAACGUUGGGAACUAGUUGUGGGGACCAUUCCACGGUUUCCGUGACGCAGCUAACGCAUUAAGUUCCCCGCCUGGGGAGUACGGCCGCAAGGCUAAAACUCAAAGGAAUUGACGGGGACCCGCACAAGCGGCGGAGCAUGCGGAUUAAUUCGAUGCAACGCGAAGAACCUUACCAAGGCUUGACAUAUACGAGAACGGGCCAGAAAUGGUCAACUCUUUGGACACUCGUAAACAGGUGGUGCAUGGUUGUCGUCAGCUCGUGUCGUGAGAUGUUGGGUUAAGUCCCGCAACGAGCGCAACCCUCGUUCUAUGUUGCCAGCACGUAAUGGUGGGAACUCAUGGGAUACUGCCGGGGUCAACUCGGAGGAAGGUGGGGAUGACGUCAAAUCAUCAUGCCCCUUAUGUCUUGGGCUUCACGCAUGCUACAAUGGCCGGUACAAAGGGCUGCAAUACCGUGAGGUGGAGCGAAUCCCAAAAAGCCGGUCCCAGUUCGGAUUGAGGUCUGCAACUCGACCUCAUGAAGUCGGAGUCGCUAGUAAUCGCAGAUCAGCAACGCUGCGGUGAAUACGUUCCCGGGUCUUGUACACACCGCCCGUCAAGUCAUGAAAGUCGGUAACACCUGAAGCCGGUGGCCCAACCCUUGUGGAGGGAGCCGUCGAAGGUGGGAUCGGUAAUUAGGACUAAGUCGUAACAAGGUAACC